This is a long non-coding RNA of Xenopus laevis (African clawed frog), 1678 nucleotides long. RefSeq lists it as uncharacterized. The record is from RefSeq and is a predicted model, not a curated record. NCBI's taxonomy places the organism in Eukaryota, Metazoa, Chordata, Amphibia, Anura, Pipidae. The transcript has 2 exons.
CAAAAAUGAUAAAAAUGGAAAACCAAUUGCAGAUUAUCUCAAAAUAUUACUCUCUACAUAAUACUGAAAGUUAACAACCCAUUUAAACCAUUAUCAGCUCAGAGGCAGCAGGAAAUACCUUAUACAUUUAGAUUUAGCUGACUAUGGUCAAGUGGUCUGAGUAAUACUAGACUGUUUCCCCACGGAGACUGAGCAAAUAAGUUGGCCUAAUAAUUAUACGCAAUUCUGAAGUCCUUUACCAACUGGUUAAUAUUUUAAAUGCAAAUUUAUAAUAUAUUGGAGGGGAUUGGAAAUGUGCUUUGUAUGUCGCCAGUCUGAUGGAUGAGCAUAGGUUUACAAAUGUUAGGAGAUUGUUACCUACUUAAAUGCAAAACGCUGACUAUAAUGUGAGAUGAAGGAGGGAUAAUAUCCUGGGGCUUUUUUUCUUACUUUGGUUAAGGUAGUUGGAUUAAAGCAAACUUUAGCUCUACACUCAUUAAGACUUCUUUGUGGCAACAAUGUGGUGAAUAUUGUGUCCUCUUUCAGCACGAUAAUACAUUUGUGCUCAAAGCAAUGUACAUUCAGAACUGUUCUGCAAAGACAGGAGUUGAUGAACGGGCAUUCACAGAGCCCUUACCUAAUUGAACCCCCUUACCUAAUUGAACCCCCAUUACAUAAAUUCAAAUGCUGACUGCAAUCCAACCUCACUAAUGGUUUUAUAAAUAAAAUCAACAAUAUUCCAGCAUCUACUUGAAAGCCUUCCCAAAGGGUUUCAGUUGUUACGGAAUCAACAAAUGGGUCACCUUCAUAUGGGCCAGCCUUGUUUUUGAAACUAGAUGUAAGGCAGGUAGGUGCCCUGAUACUUCUUAAUAUAGUGUAUAUUAUUGUCUGAUUGUCCUGCCUACAAGAGAAAAUGUGUCUUACAGCUGAUGAAUUUAUAUUUGAAAAUGAAGGCAAAAAUCAUGAAAAUCUGUGGAGGCUCCAUAGUUAACAAAUAUGCUAAGCUGGAGCUAAGAUUGUAAUUGACAACUGUAAAAUUGGCCAUUAAAAAAAUAGAGAGGAAAGGAUUAUCCUUUGAAAACAAUAAUAACCAACAAGAAGACUUUUGACGCAAAAAUCUUUCCACAGCUAAAUCUCUUGGACAAAAUGCAAAGACUUUUAUUGAAAUAGUGUUUAUUGUUGUUCCAUCAUACAGUAUCUUAAAAAUCUUACACUUGGUAUAAAGAUAUUCCCAUCUGUUUUUUCCCAAAGUCACUGAGGAUCCACCAGCUGGAGAUCUGGUUUGAGGGACCAAUGGAAGUAAUUUCUUUUGUUUGCUUACUCUUCAGUGUAUGCUUGAACAUGAUGCUGAUGAUAGAGUAAAGCCUUCUAAAGAGAAACUGUAAUUAUUGUUACAAUAAAGCUAAGAAGAAGCACCCCCAGAACAGUUGACAAUCCAAUAGUUGCAUGUAGAAGAGAAGCCGGGAAACCAUCUGAGAUGGAAUCUGCAUAAAAAUAAACUGACAAGUAAAGACACCAACUUCACUUUUUCUUUUUAAUGCCUUAUUUGUGAGACAAAACAUACUUAUAUAAAGAAAGACAAUAAAAAAUUCCUCUAUUUACGCUGUCAUUUAAUUAAAUAUAGAGGAUGUAAGGUCCUUAAAGUGGACCUGUCACCCAGACACAAAAUCGGUAUAAUAAAAGUCCUUUUCAAACUUAA